Molecule: long non-coding RNA, 1020 nt
Filed under: Piliocolobus tephrosceles (Ugandan red Colobus)
Lineage: Eukaryota; Metazoa; Chordata; Mammalia; Primates; Cercopithecidae
Description: lncRNA (ENSPTEG00000001568.1)
Source: RNAcentral
CAGUAAUGAUCAAAUGGAGUUACAAAAAUGUGAACAUAAUGGACAGAAAAUAGAUGAACAAACAAUAAAUAAACAGAAAAUAGAUAAACAAAAAAUAGAUGAACAAACAAUAGAUAAACAAAAAGUAGAUAAACAAAAAGUAGAUGAACCAGAAAUAGACAAACCAAAAAUAGACAAACCAAAAAUAGAUGAACAAAUAAACAACGUUAUAGAUUUAUCUACCAUUUCAUUGUCCGAUAUUAAACAGUUUAUAAUGCGUAAAGACGACAAACAAACAGAUAACACACAAAUUAGUAACGACAUGGAGCAUAAACAAAAAAAUAUAACAAAAGAAACAGUAGUAGAAACUAAGACAGAAAAAGAAACAAAGACAGAAAAAGAAAAAGAAGAAAAACUAAACAUAAAAAAUGAUAUUAUGAAAUAUUUUGACAUAACAGAAAAUAAAAAUUCAAUAGUAUUUGAAAUAAAUGAAUCUUUUUUAAAAAACAAAGAACCAGUCGUUAAAAGUUCUCAAGUGAUAAAUAACUAUCUACAUUUGCUUGAUUAUAACAAACAAAGUAAUUAUGCGUUUGCCACGAAGGGCCUAAAAGAAGAUAUAAAAAAAGACACAGAAGAAAACAUAGAAGAAGAGAUAAAAAAAAUCAUCGAAGAAGACACAGAAGAAGACAUAGAAGAAGACAUAGAAGAAGACAUAGAAGAAAAUAUAGAAGAAAAUAUAGAAGAAAAUAUAGACGAAGCAGAACAAAUAAAAAAUAUGUCAACAGAUGUUAAAGAACCAGAGUAUAUAAUUAAUAACCCAAAAGUGGAGUGUAUAAGGAGCACAAUAAUGGAUACACGUGAGGACACUGUCGAAAAUACUGACAAUGACAAAGACAUGCACUACGACACGGGAUUGGACGAACUAAACACCCUAACAACCACCAAAAAAAAAAAUUAACAAAGAAAACAGAAACCUUACCAAUCUACAUUUUUUACUAAACGAAGAAGCGAACAAAAAGAAUAAAUAUAAUUUCCAUUCCA